AACGUAGGAGGCGAGCGUUAUCCGGAUUUACUGGGCGUAAAGCGCGUGCAGGCGGAUUGGAAAGUUGGAUGUGAAAGCUCCCGGCUCAACUGGGAGAGGUCGUUCAAAACUACCAGUCUAGAGGACUAUAGAGGGAAGUGGAAUUCCGGGUGUAGUGGUGAAAUGCGUAGAUAUCCGGAGGAACACCAGUGGCGAAAGCGGCUUCCUGGAUAGUAUCUGACGCUCAGACGCGAAAGCUAGGGUAGCAAACGGG
This 253-nucleotide ribosomal RNA is filed under the name uncultured prokaryote. Its description in RNAcentral is "partial 16S ribosomal RNA". It matches the Rfam family "Bacterial small subunit ribosomal RNA", at positions 524 to 776 of the family's 1533-position model. The record is from RNAcentral.